RNAcentral lists this ribosomal RNA (546 nucleotides) under uncultured bacterium. RNAcentral describes it as "bacterial SSU rRNA". It matches the Rfam family "Bacterial small subunit ribosomal RNA", at positions 355 to 897 of the family's 1533-position model. The record is from RNAcentral.
UGGGGAAUCUUGCGCAAUGGGCGAAAGCCUGACGCAGCAACGCCGCGUGAGGGAGGACGGCCUUCGGGUUGUAAACCUCUUUCGACAUCGACGAAGGCCCCCUUGCUUGGGGGGUGGACGGUAGGUGUAGAAGAAGCACCGGCCAACUACGUGCCAGCAGCCGCGGUAACACGUAGGGUGCGAGCGUUGUCCGGAAUUAUUGGGCGUAAAGAGCUCGUAGGCGGUGUGUCGCGUCGGCCGUGAAAACUUGGGGCUUAACUCUGAGCGUGCGGUCGAUACGGGCAUCACUUGAGUUCGGCAGGGGAGACUGGAAUUCCUGGUGUAGCGGUGAAAUGCGCAGAUAUCAGGAGGAACACCGGUGGCGAAGGCGGGUCUCUGGGCCGAUACUGACGCUGAGGAGCGAAAGCGUGGGGAGCGAACAGGAUUAGAUACCCUGGUAGUCCACGCUGUAAACGUUGGGCGCUAGGUGUGGGGCGCAUUCCACGCGUUCCGUGCCGUAGCUAACGCAUUAAGCGCCCCGCCUGGGGAGUACGGCCGCAAGGCUAA